This 364-nucleotide ribosomal RNA is filed under the name uncultured Didiniidae. RNAcentral's name for it is "partial small subunit ribosomal RNA". It matches the Rfam family "Eukaryotic small subunit ribosomal RNA", at positions 30 to 432 of the family's 1831-position model. Lineage: Eukaryota; Ciliophora; Litostomatea; Haptorida; Didiniidae. The record is from RNAcentral.
GCUUGUCUCAAAGAUUAAGCCAUGCAUGUCUUAGUGUAAAUAACUCUUAUGAAACUGCGAAUGGCUCAUUAAAUCAGUUAUCAAAUACGUGAUGGUCGCCUACUACAUGGAUAACUGUAGAAACACUAGAGCUAAUACAUGCUAAGACCGUAAGGUUGUAUUUAUUAGAUAUACCGAGUAGGUGAAUCAUAAUAACUUCGCAAAUCGCAGUAAUACUGCGAUAAAUCAUUCAAGUUUCUGCCCUAUCAUGCUCUCGAUGGUAGUGUAUUGGACUACCAUGGCUCUCACGGGUAACGGGGAAUUAGGGUUCGAUUCCGGAGAAGGAGCCUGAGAAACGGCUACUACAUCUAAGGAAGGCAGCAGG